GUGAAUCAUCGAAUCUUUGAACGCAUAUUGCGCUCGAGGCUUCGGCCGAGAGCAUGUCUGCCUCAGCGUCGGUCCAUCCCCUCACACCCUCCCUUUGUUUUACAAGUGGGCUGGGCUGUGGAUCUGGCCGUGUCGGCUGCCCAUUGUGGCCGAGUCGGCUGAAGCUCAGAGGCUUGAGCAAGCGCCCAUUCAACCGGGCAUCAACUAGGUGGGUGGCCUUCGGGCUGCGAAGCCGUUGAUGGCCGGGGGACUUGCUGGGGGCCUGCAGGAACACCGCCCCCCGACAGGAGGGCUGGUGGC
RNAcentral lists this unclassified non-coding RNA (300 nucleotides) under uncultured fungus. RNAcentral's name for it is "sequence contains 5.8S rRNA gene, ITS2". The stretch from base 1 to 71 matches the Rfam family "5.8S ribosomal RNA", at positions 84 to 154 of the family's 154-position model. The record is from RNAcentral. Lineage: Eukaryota; Fungi.